AACGAACGCUGGCGGCAUGCCUAACACAUGCAAGUCGAACGAGACCUUCGGGUCUAGGGGCGCACGGGUGCGUAAGGCGUGGGAACCUGCCCUUAGGUUCGGAAUAAUUCCCCGAAAGGGGUGCUAAUACCGGUUAAUGUCUUCGGACCAAAGAUUUAUCGCCUUUGGAUGGGCCCGCGUUGGAUUCGCUAGUUGGUAGGGUAAAAGCCUACCAAGGCGACGAUCCAUAGCUGGUCUGAGAGGAUGAGCAGCCACACUGGGACUGAGACACGGCCCAGACUCCUACGGGAAGCAGCAGUGGGGAAUAUUGGACAAUGGGCGAAAGCCUGAUCCAGCAAUGCCGCGUGAGUGAUGAAGGCCUUAGGGUUGUAAAGCUCUUUUACCCGGGAUGAUAAUGACAGUACCGGGAGAAUAAGCUCCGGCUAACUCCGUG
RNAcentral lists this ribosomal RNA (433 nucleotides) under uncultured bacterium. Its description in RNAcentral is "partial 16S ribosomal RNA". It matches the Rfam family "Bacterial small subunit ribosomal RNA", at positions 29 to 507 of the family's 1533-position model. The record is from RNAcentral.